UACGUAGGGGGCAAGCGUUGUCCGGAAUUAUUGGGCGUAAAGAGCGCGUAGGCGGUCCGAUAAGUCGGCUGUGAAAGUCAGGGGCUCAACCCUUGGAAGCCGGCCGAUACUGUCGGACUAGAGUCCGGAAGAGGCGAGUGGAAUUCCCGGUGUAGCGGUGAAAUGCGCAGAUAUCAGGAAGAACACCAAUGGCGAAGGCAGCUCUCUGGGACGGUACUGACGCUGAGACGCGAAAGCGUGGGGAGCGAACAGG
This 253-nucleotide ribosomal RNA is filed under the name uncultured bacterium. RNAcentral's name for it is "partial 16S ribosomal RNA". It matches the Rfam family "Bacterial small subunit ribosomal RNA", at positions 524 to 776 of the family's 1533-position model. The record is from RNAcentral.